AAUUUUACCUAUAAUCAGCCAAUUAUUCCAUAAUUUUUCAAAGAUUCCCAAAGAUUUCCAAUAUUAUUCUUUUUGUUCUCUUUUUCUUUCGAUAAAUGUCGAAAUAUGUAUCUUGAUUCGAGUUGAAUCGAAGAUUGAUCGAUCGAUCAUUAUCAUAAAUUCGAUUUAAUUCACUCUUCUCUUUCAUUCUUUCGAUUUAUCGAAGCGAAUUGCAACCAUCUUCAUUGCAAGAUGUAUUGCGAUCAAAAUAGUCGAAUCUUCUCUUAUUAUUUAUUCUUUCAAUUAUUUUAUCAUUUUUAAUAAUCAUCGCAAUUAACGUGUAUACGUAUAAACUACUACUGUGCGUGCAAUUUAGUCUAAACACACGAAACACGCAAAAUAUUCGCAAUUUCUGAUAGCUAUAAAAGAAAACGUUUUAGCUUGAUAUCGAUAAUAAUAUAUUCGUGGUGAAGAGAGAAUCAUUCAAGGAAUUGAGAUGAUUGAAAACGCUAAAUAUGAACGAGAACUCGAUAUCUCUCUCGUCGAAUCUGUUCUCAAAAAGAUUUGAAGCAGUUGUAAAUAGUUGUUAACCCUGUUUGGAAACAAACUGUCCACGAUUCUGUAGUAUUCAAUGGAUUGAACUAUUUAUACGACCUGGAUUUAUCCUAAAACAGAAUCGGUUCAAUAGAAUUCAAUGUUUUUUUUGAAGUCAUUACGUUUAACCAAUAAUAACCAAUAUAUUACCUGAACAAGAAAUAUCUUGGAUUAAACAGAUCGUACGAUGAUGAUGUUCUGUGUGUAUGUAUGUGAAAAUUAUGUUAUUGAUUUCUUUUAAUCUAUUUUCUUUUUUUUUUAUACAUAUAUUAUUUAUUCUUGAUUUGUAUGUGAAUUCACGAACUAAUUCUAAGUUUUUAGUUCAAACAAUAAGUGCCUACUUAUCAACAUAUAAACACAAUACAAACGGGAUGUAAUUUUUGAAUAUUUAAAUUACUAUUGAGACGAUAAGAAAAUGUGUUAAUGCAAUCUGGUAUUAAUCAGGCGUUGUAUUAUUAGAUGGACGAUAACCUUAAAUCGUCGAGAGAGAAUUGAAUGUGCGAAUGAAGUUAAAAGUUUUGCUUCGAAAGACGACAGACGGCGUAGCAAUCGCAUCGUGUUUUUUCUGGAAUCCCUUCUACUAUUGAGAGUAUAACAAAAUCUAGAAACUGGUAACUAUUGUUACUAUUUAUCCAUGAUCAUUGUAGAAUGAAAUUAGGCAUUUCUAUUAUUCUUCUAUUUUAUCUCUUUAUAUUUUCAACUUCAUGCUUUCUUAUUCUAUUCUCUUCUAUUUUCUUCCUGAAUAGAUUUAUUCGCCGUCACUUUUCGAUUCUUUAUCGAACGUUCGAAGUCUCGACUGGCCAGGAAUAAUUAGCCCUGUUUCGAAUCGCUUAAUUUACCUUGAAAAAGCACAAGGCACGUUCAAAGAAUAGCCCGCUGGGGGAAAGUAGGUCGUGGAGAAAAAAGACAGCCUCUCUUGCCGAGUGCCGGCUGGGAAAACCGACGACGCAAGUUCACGGUCGUGUCCCGGCUACGUGGAACUAGGCUGGUGUUGCUCUCGCCUUCCUCCCUUCUGCCGUUUUUCAGUGCACGAGGACGGAAUCGGGGAUGCGUGCACCACGUCUAAAUUUUGCACUUUUGCACUCUGUACACGCAAAUUAAAACCUAUUAUCUUUUUUCUUUUUAAAGGAUUUGAAAUUUGCCUGAAAGUUGGAACAAAAUUAUCGAAAGUAAUGACGAAUAUCACGAAGGAUGAAAAUCAUAUGAAAGAUCAUCGUAUGCGCCAAAUUUUUUGUUUUUACAACUUAAAAAAAAAAAAAAAAAAAA
This 1839-nucleotide long non-coding RNA is filed under the name Apis florea (little honeybee). RNAcentral describes it as "uncharacterized LOC116415166". The record is from RNAcentral. Lineage: Eukaryota; Metazoa; Arthropoda; Insecta; Hymenoptera; Apidae.